UCCAAGAUGGCGGCUAGUAGAUCCUCCGAAUUGAAGACCGCGGCCAUCGUUGGGCCCCAGGGCGGGUUUUUAGAAAGGAGGAAAGGCCGCUGUGGAGGAGGCGGGCGUGAGUCGCGUGCUCCCCGGAGCGCCGGUAGGCCCUCUUGUCCGCCUUGUACAACAGCCUUGCGAGGUCAGCCUUGGUAAGGCCUGAGGAAGUCAAGCCAAGCUGGAUGGAGUCAAAGAGUGAAGCCCAGUGUCCCUAUUCCUUCUCCUGCUUCUGCAGGUCAAGAGGGGAAGAUGAUCCGCUUCUACUGCAGGCUUUGUUAGUGCAGCUUCAACGACCCAAUGCUAAGGACAUGCACCUCAUGGGACGCCGGCAUUGACUGCACUUUAAGUUUUCAGCACUUGGAUAGUUGAAGUGCCCUGUUCAGCAGUUGGAAUGGUGCAGACCAUGCUCUUCCUGCAUUCCAUGACCCUCUGUGGAAUCCAAAGUUGGAUUUUGAGAAAGCAGGCAAGAGAGACCAUUGGCACUUUUGAACUUCAAUGUUGGAGAAGACCAUGAGCAACCAAGAAAACAAUAGAAUAAAUCAAGCCAGAAUUCUUACUUGAGUCCGCAAUUUCUUUGCCAAUAUUGAGGAACACUAGGCCAGGUGGUGUUCCCCGAAUGUCAACCACAUUUUGGACCUGGUCUGACAGGAAGGGCCAGGAGUGUCCCCAAGGCUCAAUCCUGCUGAAUGGUCAAAGUGACACCUCCAUUGAUGGCACUGAAGCCCAGUGGGGAGAAACACACCUCUGUCUCACAAGGCAUUGACAAUGUCCCCAUGGCAUAAGCCAUGAGUAAUAUCCAGAGAGCCAGUUUGGUGUUUGUUCCCAAGUUCUAAACUAGGAUGUGGUAAGUUCUAGUACUGCCUUAAGGCAUAAAGCAACUGGAAGACUAGGGCUAGUCACUAUGUCUCUGCCCAAGGAAGAAGACAAUGGCAAAGCACUUCUGAAAAAACUUGCCAAGAAAUCUGCAGGGACUUGUCUAGGCAAUCUCUGAAUCUGAAACAAUUGAAUGGAAGAAAAAGUAUUGUCCAUGUCCUUCAGAGUGAUAAAUCCUGAUUAAUCAUGAAAUUGUGGCUUGCUUAUUUGCUGGGUGACCCAAGCUCCAUAGAUUCAUUGUUUGCAGAGAUAUUUCCUUACCUAAAAAGAGAAACGAAAUCACCAAGGGUAAGAAAAAAAAGCAGUGAGAACUUCCAAGCUUCCUCAUUACAUUUUCUUGGAAUCUGGCAGGAAGCAUCAGCAGGCAGGUUAGUGGCUGGAGAGAGAAAAAGGGAUUGCAAGACUGGCUGGGAAACUGUCAUGGAACAUUGAAAAUGAAGACCGAGUGACCUUCAGCAGCCAGUAGCAUUGAAGUAGCAACAGCUUUCCCAAAUGUCAGUCCCUCGGGAGUCCUGGAUUUUGGACGCCUUCUGUAAGUUAGCCCAUCUGAGGUACGUUGGUGCAAAAAUUGUUGCCCUGUGAUGCACCACUUCACACAGCUAAAGGUCAUCACAAGAAGAGUUUUGGUAUGUAGUAUUCUGUUUUCGGUGCUGCUCAGCAGCACAUAUUCUCUGAACCAGCUGAAAUUUCCAAAUUACUCCUGUAGCUAUUCAAGCCUAAAAAGUAUAGAAUAUUGGCCAUGCAGAUCCAGGUUUAGGAUCUCGGUCAGCAUUCCUGGAUAGGGUCAAUCAGUCUGUGCAUGUCUGCGUGUGUUAAUAAAACAUUAAAGUUU
Molecule: non-coding RNA, 1735 nt
Organism: Notechis scutatus (mainland tiger snake)
Lineage: Eukaryota; Metazoa; Chordata; Lepidosauria; Squamata; Elapidae
Source: RefSeq, a predicted model, not a curated record